CAGUCCCUCUGCCUAACUGUUCUGAACAGCAGUGACUUUGCACACGUCCCAGUGUGGAAGGACAAUGCCUGCAGAGGAAGACCGGCAGGUACUUUAAACCUGCCUUCCUCGGAGCGUCACUGGUUUAGACUGCCUGAGUUCCAGACAGAGUUGGUCCCAUUAGUCACAUUGCUGGAAAUACCAAUGACUGAACCAUGAAUGACCUGCUUCUCAAGCCAUACAUACAAUGUGAAUUCUGAUCCCCAAACUCCCAUGAAGAGAGGUUUAUGGAUUCUUAAGGAGAUCAUCUUUACAUUAACAAACUAUUUAAGAGGGCUGGAAAGAUGGCUCAGCAAUUAAAAGCACAGGCUGCCCUUCCAAAGGACCCAGGUUCAAAUCCUAGUACCCACAUGGCAGCUCACAACUGUCUAUAAUUCCAGUUCCAGGGGAACCAACCUUCACAUGGACAUACGUACAGACAGAACACCAAUAUAAAUAAAAAUUUAAAAAAGAAAUUAUUUAAAACAUUAUCCAGUACCAGGAGAAUGCCAUCAAAUGUGUACUUGGUUAUAUUCUUAGAAACAUAAGAUCUAGUGUGUGGCUCAACAAAAUAUUUCACUCACUGAUUUGUUUUGCUCUGUAUCAAAACAGUCUUUGAAAGGAAAAUGACAUUAUGGAUGAACAGAUAAUAUGUAAAGC
RNAcentral lists this long non-coding RNA (678 nucleotides) under Mus pahari (shrew mouse). RNAcentral's name for it is "lncRNA (MGP_PahariEiJ_G0003271.1)". The record is from RNAcentral. Lineage: Eukaryota; Metazoa; Chordata; Mammalia; Rodentia; Muridae.